ACCGCGCCUGCCCCGCGCCCUUUCCGGACGCCCGAGCCCCGGCGCUGAGCGGAUUAAUGAAACACCUACUGUGUGCCUGCCCCCUUGCUCCGCGCCCCCGCGCUGUAGUGGUCAUGGCGCUAUUUAUAGGGGCUGGAUACUGCUCGCAGUGCUCGAUAUCCACUAGCUCGUUUAAGUUUCGCAGCCUCUCCGUCAUCAUCCCCAUUUUACGUAUGAGGAAACUGAGGCUCAGAGAAGAGUCCUUAUUCUCUGCAAUACCAGGAAGUACCCAGGUGUUACCUGUCCCCACACUGGUCCUAUGCCAGAAGGUGGAAUUCUCCAAUUGUCCUAAGAAGAUCUGGGCCCUAGGGUGAGUGUAUAUAAAAGUGACAUAAAAGGGUCAUCUGCCCCUUGCAGUCAAACCUCUGUGAGCAGGACCAGGUGGCCCUGUUGAGGGAGAAGCUGGGAAGAGAGAAUCCUAUUGUUUCACUUAGCACCAAACUUGUAGGCCUGGUUAUAACUAUAUUAGUUAGAAGUUGUACCCAGCUGCCAGUAGCAGAGACCUGGAAAAUAGUGGCUUAGAUAAAAUAGAAGUUUAUUUUCACAGGUCGCAGAAGUCAGGGAUUCCCUGAUUGGUAGGGUGGUUCUAGAGCAUCAUCAGGCACUCUCAAUCCUCCUUCCUUUCUGCUCUAUUAUAGAGUUUGACUCCAUCCUCAAGGUCACAAAAUGGCUACUGGAGUGCCAGCCAUCAUACAUAUAUUCCAGACAGGAAGAAGAAGGAAGAAAACAAAAAGGAUACACACUGGAUUUUUGGGAGCUUUCCUGGAAGACCUGCCCUGCGACUUCUGCUUAUAUCUCAUCAGCCACCUUUAUACGCUUGGGAAGUGCGAAAUGAAGUCUCCUGGCUACUCACCUACUCACUCUGAGCAAGCUCUUGCUCAUCAUCCAAUCCCAGUUUCCUUUUACCUUAUUUGGGAUAUUGAAAGAUAAGGAUGCCUCUGAUGUUUGCAAUUGCUAAAAGCAAGUCAGCUUGGUUUCUGAAACAAAAUGCUUUAACAACAGGGGCUUUGCUCGUGUUUCUGGUUCUCUUCCUUCAUCAUAGACACGCAGUGUACCCUUGGGAAGGGGGCACAGGCCUUUCCUUAAGAACACUAGAGCCUAAUCACUGCAGGUGCUUGCCGAGAUAAGAAAAGGUACUAUUACAUGGUAAGGUCAGGUGGUCCCACGCUCUGUGAGACGGGGAGGGAGGAGAUUUAUGCAUGAAUCUUAGGCUGGUUCUGCAAGUGAGCCCCGGAGACAAAUAUUUGUGUGCCCGUGGUUUAUUCAGAAGCCCCGGUUUCAGCCUAAGAGAAAGUCCCUUCAAGGGAGGGGAGU
Molecule: long non-coding RNA, 1353 nt
Filed under: Canis lupus dingo (dingo)
Lineage: Eukaryota; Metazoa; Chordata; Mammalia; Carnivora; Canidae
Description: lncRNA (ENSCAFG00020020842.1)
Source: RNAcentral